This 509-nucleotide ribosomal RNA is filed under the name uncultured bacterium. RNAcentral describes it as "partial 16S ribosomal RNA". It matches the Rfam family "Bacterial small subunit ribosomal RNA", at positions 29 to 523 of the family's 1533-position model. The record is from RNAcentral.
AUUGAACGCUGGCGGCAUGCCUUACACAUGCAAGUCGAACGGCAGCGGGGGAGAAGCUUGCUUUUCCUGCCGGCGAGUGGCGAACGGGUGAGUAAUACAUCGGAACGUGCCCUGUAGUGGGGGAUAACUAGUCGAAAGAUUAGCUAAUACCGCAUACGACCUGAGGGUGAAAGGGGGGGACCGCAAGGCCUCAUGCUAUAGGAGCGGCGGAUGUCUGAUGUAGCUAGUUGGUGGGGGAAAGGCCUACCAAGGCGACGAUCAGUAGCUGGGCUGAGAGGACGAUCAGCCACAGUGGGAAUGAGACACGGACCAGACUCCUACGGGAGGCGGCAGUGGGGAAUUUUGGACAAGGGGCGAAAGCCUGAUCCAGCAAUGCCGCGUGUGUGAAGAAGGCCUUCGGGUUGUAAAGCACUUUUGUCCGGAAAGAAAUGGCUCUGGUUAAUACCUGGGGUCGAUGACGGUACCGGAAGAAUAAGGACCGGCUAACUACGUGCCAGCCGCCGCAGUAA